AACGUAGGAGGCAAGCGUUAUCCGGAUUCACUGGGCGUAAAGCGCGUGUAGGUGGUUCGUUAAGUCGCUGGUGAAAGCCCCUGGCUCAACUGGGGGAGGUCUGGCGAAACUGGCGGACUUGAGGGUCCGAGAGGAAGGUGGAAUUCCCGGUGUAGCGGUGGAAUGCGUAGAGAUCGGGAGGAACACCAGUGGCGAAGGCGGCCUUCUGGCGGGCUUCUGACACUGAGACGCGAAAGCGUGGGGAGCAAACGGG
Molecule: ribosomal RNA, 253 nt
Filed under: uncultured bacterium
Lineage: Bacteria
Description: partial 16S ribosomal RNA
Rfam family: Bacterial small subunit ribosomal RNA
Source: RNAcentral